ACGCAAAAAUUACCCAAUAGUACAAUUUUUGAUCAUAUUUCAGCUCAUGAUCCAACAUGCUACAUAAAGACUGAGGGUCGAGACCGAAUGGGGUAAUGCGUCAUAUAUAUAAAAUCCGCUGGGUGACAGUAGCGUUACGUCCUCAAUACAUUUCUGCUAUGUAGGUAGAGAAAGGCGAGAUAUGUUGUAGUCUACCAGUCAUGUCGGUAAACAUGCAUGUUUAUUACGAGCGCUACGUAAUUACGAAGAUAUUGAGCAUACGCAAUAUAUAUAUUAUACAGAAGAAUAUUGUUAAUGUUAAUAUGCCUGGAUUGCUCUGUUCCAAAUUGCAACAAAAGAGGUGGUCACGAAUUUCCAAGGGAUACUCGCUUAAAAAGAAAAUGGAUUUUAGAUAUAAAACGAAGUUCAAACAGUCCAAGUAGGAAGCUAUAGAAUCCAAAAGAACGUUCUUUUGUAUGCCGCAGCCAUUUUCUUCCUUCUGAUUACAAACCAAAGAUAUGUCCAGCCAUGAAGAGAGCUAUUUUAAAAGAUACUGCUGUUCCAUCUGUUUUUUCUUUUAAUAAAGAAGUAAAGAAAAGAACCACAAAAA
Ciona intestinalis (vase tunicate) is the source of this 589-nucleotide non-coding RNA. The record is from RefSeq and is a predicted model, not a curated record. NCBI's taxonomy places the organism in Eukaryota, Metazoa, Chordata, Ascidiacea, Phlebobranchia, Cionidae.